CCGAAGAUCAGCAUAAGACAGCAUUUCAGACCCACCACGGCCACUUUGAGUUCCGAGUCAUGGCAUUUGGCCUUACCGGUGCACCUGCUACAUUUCAAGGAGCAAUGAAUAAGACCUUAGCGCCACUUCUUCGGAAAUGUGUCUUGGUCUUUUUCGACGACAUUUUGGUUUAUAGCCCGACAUGGGACACUCACUUGCAACACAUUGAGCUCGUCUUGCAGCUGCUUUCGACAGAUUCUUGGCAAGUCAAACUGUCCAAAUGCUCCUUCGCCAAGCAGGAAAUUGUUUAUCUGGGCCACAUUAUUAGCCAGGCAGGAGUGCCCACUGAUCCUUCCAAGGUGUCUGCUGUCUUAUCUUGGCCAGUGCCUCAGACUUGCAAAGAACUCCGGGGAUUCUUGGGUCUUGCUGGGUACUACCGCAAGUUUGUUAAAAAUUUCGGUAUUAUCGCUAAACCGCUCACCUCCCUGCUGAAGAAAGACUCAAUGUUUGUAUGGACUACUUUACAUGACACAGCAUUCCAAACCCUGAAGCACUCCCUAGCGUCUGCUCCCGUAUUGGCCUUGCCCAAUUUUCAGAAACCUUUUUCUAUUGAGACUGAUGCAUCAAGCAAAGGUAUAGGGGCUGUUCUCCAACAGGAAGGUCACCCUUUGGCAUAUGUCAGCAAGGCACUGGGACCUAAAAACUUAGGUCUUUCUACUUAUGAAAAAGAGUAUUUGGCUAUUCUGCUCGCAGUUACCCACUGGAGGUCGUAUUUGCAGCAUGCAGAAUUUCUCAUUCUGACCGAUCAUCGCAGCUUGUCACACCUGUCUGACCAAAGGCUGCAUACUCCAUGGCAGCAAAAGGUUUUUACCAAGCUCUUGGGUUUACAUUAUAAGAUUAUCUAAAAAAAAGGUGUGGACAACACGGCAGCAGACGCCUUAUCUCGGCGCCCCCAUGAGGCUGCCUCCUUGUUUGCUGUCUCCAUGGCUUCCCCAGCAUGGAUACAGGAGAUUAUCGAUGGUUAUGAGUCUGACCCUGAGGCGCUUAAACUUGUCACUGCUUUGUCUAUCUCUGAGUGUCCUCCUUAUACCUUACAAGACGGAGUCAUUCGAUACAAGAACCGUGUCUGGUUAGGUGCCAACAGUGCUAUGCAGUCCAAAGUCAUGUCAGCACUGCACUCCAGUGCCUUGGGCGGUCACUCAGGGUUCCCUGUUACUUACAGUCGGAUCAAGCAGUUGUUCUACUGGCCCCGUAUGAAAAGUGCCAUCAAGGAGUUUGUCGCUGCAUGUGGGGUGUGCCACCAAGCCAAACCAGACCGGGCCCGGUAUCCUGGUCUUCUCCAACCCUUGCCAGUACCAACCCAAGCAUGGCAAGCAAUAUCUCUUGAUUUCAUCGAAGGCUUACCACCAAGUGGCGGCUACAACAGUAUCUUGGUCGUGGUGGAUCGCUUCUCCAAAUACGGUCACUUUAUUGCCUUGCGCCACCCUUUCACUGCUCUCAAGAUUGCUCAGGUUUUUAUGGCUGAAAUCUAUCGUCUCCACGGCAUGCCCCAAUCUAUUGUGUCUGAUCGUGACCGUAUUUUUACAAGUACCUUAUGGAGGGAGCUGUUCAGAUUGUCCGGGACUCAGCUUCUCAUGAGCUCUUCCUACCACCCCCAGACAGACGGCCAAACAGAACGCGUCAAUCAGUGUUUGGAGACAUUCUUACGCAGUUUUGUGCAGGCCUGUCCCUCUAAGUGGUCACUAUGGCUGUCCGUGGCAGAGUACUGGUACAACUGUUGUUUCCAUUCUUCCCUGGGCCAUUCACCAUUCGAAGUGCUCUAUGGAAGAUCCCCUCGUCAUUUUGGCCUUUCAGUUGAUGACUCAGUUUCCCAUGUGGACUUAGCAUCCUGGUUGGGUCAAAGGGACCUCAUGGUCCGGUCGGUUCAUCAUCACUUGUUGCGCGCUCAGCAGCGCAUGAAACAUUUCGCAGACAAGCGUCGUUCUGAACGCGUGUUCAAUGUCGGGGAUAUGGUAUAUCUGAAGCUCCAGCCCUAUGUGCAAACUUCGGUGGCCCCUCGUGCCAGUCACAAACUUGCCUACAAAUAUUUCGGGCCCUUUGAGAUUUUACAGAAGGUUGGUGCUGUGGCUUAUAAGCUGAAAUUACCAGAGUCUGCUUCCAUCCACCCGGUGUUUCACGUCUCCCAGUUAAAGCCAUCAGUUCAUCCAUCGUGCUCUGUCAGUUCUGCUCUUCCAGCUGUGGCAUCUGCCGUCAGUUACCCAGAGCAAAUUCUGCAACGCCGUACUAUCUCACGUGGAGGCCAUCAGGUUGCUCAGGUCUUGGUACGCUGGUCCGGUUGCGACGCCACUCUGGAUUCAUGGGAAGAUGAACAAGCUCUGCAAGGCCGUUUCCCAGCUGCCACCGCUUGGGGACAAGCGGCUCUUCAACAGGAGGGGAUUAUCAGCAUACCAAAGGGGUUACCAGGGAACUCUGAUGAAAGUGAGCUGCAGGAGGAGCAAACCAAGGUGUCGGGCCGCCGUGUCCGUAGGCCCAAUUCCCUUUUUUCAUUGGACAAGUGGUCCAUGUAAGCCCAUGUGGGCAGUAGCAGUAGAUAAGGAGAGAGAGUGGAGAAAACUGAGUAUCAAACAUUUACAGAGAACAAUACUACCUCUGCUCCUUCCUCCGUAAUUCUGUCUUCCUCUUCCUUCUGCUCGUAGACAGUAGAGUAGUUAUAACAGAUGCGCUCGGCUGUCUCGCGCGCGCGUGGGCUACAUAAUCUUCCUCUCCACCUCUGUCUCUCCCGCCCAGCUUUCGAACGUGACACUCGUCGGCUCCGGCUCUUGGUUGGAACAUCAAGAGCGCUUGUUCGAACCCAUCUGCUCCCGUUUUGCUUGGCUUAGUGGUCUAACUGCAUCCAUCUAUAUGCCCAUCUAUAGUGUUCCGCCGAUUAACAGCUUCACUGAUCAUGGUUUUUUUUUUACUGAAUGAACAUGUAUCAUAUCAUAUCCUCUUUCUUUGAAACCUGUCUCGGGCCGGAUUUCUGAACCUGACAUCGUUUUCCACUUGAUUGUGCGGUUUUGCGCGGCAGCAGAGGCGACGCCCAAGUCAGUGCUGAGGCUGAUGGGGACGAAACGAAAGGGCUUGUUGCCUUCUUGGCGAGGCAGGCUGCGGCUGGCGAACGGGUGCCUGCCGUUCGUCUGCCGUGGCUACAGAGCCCGGCGGCGGCGGCGGCGGCGCGGCGCACAUGGCCUUUGGCAUUUUUCAGUAUUUUCCCCUGCUAUACUAGGGAGACCAAGCCAGUGCGGUGAUGCUGUGUUCCGCGCAAGGAGGACAGAGGGGAGGCUGGUCAGUUUCGUGGCGAGCGCUGGGUUGCCGACCCUGACUCCCCACCUCGGUCUCGGUGCACAGCACAAGACGCCCGCGAGAAGAGCAUCUUGGCAUGCGCGCAUGGCGUGGUCUCGUACAUCUGUUUGUUUGUGUGUUGCCUGUGCCUGCAUGGGCUCCUGGUACUGCAGCCAGAUCUAGCACGUGCGAGCAGUUGGACGUUUGGAUUUACUGUAUGGGUGAACCAGCAAUGGGGGCAAUGGCGAGUGGCGACGGGGUACCAACCGGGAGCAGAGAUCCAUGUCCGCUCGCUUGGUUGCGUCGGGACCAAUCCACCACCAAGGCCAAGCCAAUAGCCAAGCAGCGGGGGGACCGACCGUGCUGUCGAUGGCGGAUUGCAUGCACGGAAUGCAGAGAUGCCUACGGGCACGGCUCUUGUGGUGCGGUGGUGUGUGGAGCUUGACAGCUUGUGGCUUGCUAUCUCUGUGCCUAGCCUAGCUAGCAGUAGCAGGCGCGCGAGUGCCAAAACUGACGGCAGCAGGUAGCUAGUAGGUUGGUCGGCUAGGGCCAUCGAGGUGCGUCGCCAUCCGACGCAGGCAGGACCAGGACCACCGAUGAUGGACUGGAAUGAUGAUCCGAGUGGAAAUACCGGUAAGUAGGACCGUGAAGAAAGGUAGCGACAGUGUCAGUGGGAUACCCGUGAUCAUUCCGAUGUUUUGAAACGAACUGCAGCUCCGAGUGUUCAUGAUUGAACGAACAUAUACUUAGUAAUACCACAAGCUCAUCGGGAUGAAACAGAGGCGUCGGAGUUCUUUACUAGUCCGUCUCUUAGAUCGACCACAGCAGAGCAGAGCAUAUACAGUUUUGCAUAUGACGCAUCGUCGCAAUUGGUUAUUGGUAGGUAGUAGGGCAUCUUCACUAGCUAACAGAAGGAGGAGGGUGAAAGGAGAGCGCUUUGGCGUCCGGCGGGGCACACAAAAAAAAAAACCGCGAGCAGGGAGGGAGCGGUUAAAAUGCGUGCAAAAAGGGAGGAGACGCCGCGAGCGGCAGACAGACAGGCAGAGGCAGGCAGGCAAGGCCAAGAGCCCAAGACGGUCGGGGCGGAGCGCGAGAGGCAGGCGACGCGAGGAGAGGAGGCGGUGCUGUGGUGGCCUCACCUGCCCUGCCAUGAUUAUAAAAAAUAACGGAGCGCGACGCGGGUAGAAACCGGAAGGCCCGCCGCUGCCCGCCCCUUCUUCCUUCCCGUCCCACACACGCCGCCGCCGCCGCCGCCGCCGCUCGCUUCCUCCACCCCCCGGUCCGCGCGGCGCGGGCUGCCUGCGCGACCAGGGAGGCAGGGCACGCGGCAACCACGUGGGGAGGCGACGACACCACACCACCCUAUGCUCUCUGUCCUCGCCCGCAGGGUAAGAUUGCAGCAGCAGUGAAUUUGGGAGCUUGAAGCGUUCAUCCGAGACAUGGAAAAAGUGAUCUGCCGGGCAUAUCUCCUUCAAUGCAAGCGAUUCUUUUCGAAAGAAACUCUUGAUUGGUGUGUCUUAGCCCGUGGGAACACCCAUCUCUCCUCUCUGGUGAACUACACAUAGUGGUUAUAUGCUCCUCUAUGCUCCACAACAAGCAGGCUGAUGCGAUAUUUUCCUGAAGUUAUUAUAUUCCAGUCUAUGCCAGACAUCUACAUCACAUCAACUUCUGAAAAGUUUCUUUUCAGGUAGAUGAUGCUCAUAUAAGGGGGGGUUAAUAUAUUUGCCAUCUUCAGCCUACAUCUGUUGCUGCCCUAAUUAGUUGAUUUGUCUUCUGUGUACUAUCUGAGGCAAGAUAUUGAUCAGCUAGAACUUGGCAAACCCUUGCCUUUCGUGUCUGUUCAUAUUUCUCGUGGCUUGG
Molecule: RNA transcript, 5160 nt
Organism: Zea mays
Lineage: Eukaryota; Viridiplantae; Streptophyta; Magnoliopsida; Poales; Poaceae
Gene name: putative protein kinase superfamily protein
Exons: 5
Source: RefSeq, marked provisional